GCAUGCAGUCGANGAGANCCUCCUUCUGGGUAACCAAAAGGGGACGUCUAGUGNNGAACGGGUGAGUAACACGUGAGGAACCUGCCCCGAAGACCGGGAUAGCCCAGGGAAACUUGGAUUAAUACCGGAUGCCCUCGCCGGAUCGCAUGGUCUGGUGAGGAAAUGGAUUCUGCUUCGGGAUGGCCUCGCGCCCUAUCAGCUAGUUGGUGAGGUAACGGCUCACCAAGGCGCAGACGGGUAGCUGGUCUGAGAGGACGAUCAGCCACACUGGGACUGAGACACGGCCCAGACUCCUACGGGAGGCAGCAGCAGGGAAUAUUGCACAAUGGGCGAAAGCCUGAUGCAGCGACGCCGCGUGAGGGAUGAAGGCCUUCGGGUUGUAAACCUCUUUCAGUAGGGAAGAAGCGAAAGUGACGGUACCUACACAAGAAGCCCCGGCCAACUACGUGCCAGCAGCCGCGGUAAUACGUAUGGGGCAAGCGUUGUCCGGAUUUAUUGGGCGUAAAGAGCUCGUAGGCGGCUUAGCAAGUCGGUCGUGAAAUACCGAGGCUCAACCUCGGAACGCCGGUCGAAACUGCUAUGGCUAGGGUCCGGUAGAGGAGAGUGGAAUUCCCGGUGUAGCGGUGAAAUGNNCAGAUAUCGGGAGGAACACCAGUAGCGAAGNNGGCUCUCUGGGCCGGUACCGACGCUGA
This 692-nucleotide ribosomal RNA is filed under the name uncultured bacterium. Its description in RNAcentral is "bacterial SSU rRNA". It matches the Rfam family "Bacterial small subunit ribosomal RNA", at positions 53 to 749 of the family's 1533-position model. The record is from RNAcentral.